AUGGCCUUUGCGCCCUCCGAGCAUGACAUCGUCUCUCGCCUUGCGUCCUCGGCUGCCAAGCGUUCAGCGUCGCGAAGAGGAAGGGGGAGACAGGGUUGCUCUCUCUUGCCUUCCCCUCGGUGUAUUUGUUUGCGGGGGCUCUGGUUGCUUUCCCCCUUUUGGCAAAGGAGAGCGAUGCAACCCGGCAGAUACCUUGGGAGCGAGGAGGGUAUUUUGGGGAGUUGCAGUGUUGUGCGGAAGAUCAUGUCUGUGCCCUGUGGUGCUGUCAGCAGUGACAGAUCCCAGAUGCCGUCGCUACUGUAUGGCAGAUUGAGUUUCUCAGCAGAAAACUCUCUCCCUCCCUCCCAAACGUCUUCAAAAACCUUCUCCAGAUACUGCGGGUCACUUCGGCUCAAACGGGGAGAGAAAGGGGGGAAAAAAGGCUUUUCCUCUCUCCUCCCUCUCUCUUCCUCCCGCCGGAUUUCUCUGGGGUGCGCGGGGGACCAUGGCAGGGCCCUUGUGCACCCGGGGGGCUGGGGGGACUCCUCUCACCCCCGUCCUGCUGAGAGCCCGUCGCCGAGCACGGGGACCGUAGUCCAGAAAGAGCCUGUCAUUUUAUCUCGGGGUUUCUCGGAACCGCUGAGCGAGCCAGACUCUGCGGCCGCUCCCGCCCUGCACGGCGGAACAGCCGCGGCCGGUGCCUUUCCCUUCCGCUGGCCAAGUGCAUCACUCGGGACGCGGGUCCGGGAGUGCUUGAGGAAGAUUUGUACUUAUUUUUUCCCAGAGAAGGCUUUUCCUUGCUGUGUCUUUUGCCUAAGCCAGGCCCACAAGUGGAUCAAACCAGUCCUGCACUGUUGCAUUUAGUCCAUAGCAAAACUCCCUUUGAGGAAGAUUCUGCAGAUUUAAGGACUGAGGAGUUAGGACUGGGAGCUAAGGAAAGGACAUGAAUGACUUCCUUCACAGCUGGUUUUAAAAAGCCAUCUGCUUUCUACAGUCAAGCCAAAACUAAGGGGAGAUGAUCUGAGGUUUAGAAACAUGCAGGAUAAUUUUCACACCAAAUAAGAAAAAUGAGAAAUUAUCUUAACAUAUUGUAACUUGUCAUAAAAAUACAUGUUUCUUUCCAGCUUUAAAAGAGGACUUUAUAAAAUCUACUGUCUUUGAUUUGUUAAGUCGAUUUUAUAUUGAUUUUUUAAUUCAUCUGUUUUUAAGAAAGCGGAAUGAAACACUCGAUGUUUCUAUUAUUUUGAUUGGUGCUUCAUUGUAUAAGAAUUUGGUUAUUGAAACAUACACUAAAUAUUGCACUGUAAAUUGUGUUGUAACUUAUGCAAUACCUUUUGGUAUUAAUAGAAAAAAAUCAAGAUUGCAAAAAUGGUAUUUAAUUUUUUAUUUUAUUUAGUUUAAUAAAAAACUCACUUGACUGC
RNAcentral lists this long non-coding RNA (1400 nucleotides) under Serinus canaria (Common canary). RNAcentral's name for it is "lncRNA (ENSSCAG00000010233.1)". Lineage: Eukaryota; Metazoa; Chordata; Aves; Passeriformes; Fringillidae. The record is from RNAcentral.